GACGAACGCUGGCGGCGUGCCUAAUACAUGCAAGUCGAGCGAAGUUUUUCUGGUGCUUGCACCGGAAAAACUUAGCGGCGAACGGGUGAGUAACACGUAAAGAACCUGCCUCAUAGACUGGGACAACUAUUGGAAACGAUAGCUAAUACCGGAUAAUAGCAUUAACUGCAUGGUUGAUGUUUAAAAGUUGGUUUUGCUAACACUAUGAGAUGGCUUUGCGGUGCAUUAGCUAGUUGGUGGGGUAAAGGCCUACCAAGGCGACGAUGCAUAGCCGACCUGAGAGGGUGAACGGCCACACUGGGACUGAGACCAGGCCCAGACUCCUUCGGGAGGCAGCAGUAGGGAAUCUUCCGGAAUGGGCGAAAGCCGGACGGGGCAACGCCGCGUGAGUGAAGAAGGAUUUCGGUUCGUAAAGCUCUGUUGUUAGGGAAGAAUGAUUGUGUAGUAACUAUACACAGUAGAGAAGGUACCUAACCAGAAAGCCACGGCUAACUACGUG
RNAcentral lists this ribosomal RNA (499 nucleotides) under uncultured bacterium. Its description in RNAcentral is "partial 16S ribosomal RNA". It matches the Rfam family "Bacterial small subunit ribosomal RNA", at positions 28 to 507 of the family's 1533-position model. The record is from RNAcentral.